AAUGAACGUUGGCGGCGUGGAUUAGGCAUGCAAGUCGAGCGCUCAUAGCAAUAUGGGAGCGGCGAACGGCGUAGGAAUUCAUAGGAACGUACCCUCAGGUCGGGGAUAGCUACGGGAAACUGUAGGUAAUACCCGAUGAUCUCUGCGGAGCAAAGGUGUGAUUCCGCCUGAGGAGCGGCUUAUGUGAUAUUAGCUAGUUGGUGGGUAAUGGCUUACCAAGGCGAAGAUGUCUAGGGGGUGUGAGAGCAUGGCCCCCACGACCGGAACUGAGAUACUGUCCGGACACCUACGGGUGGCUGCAGUCGAGAAUCUUCCGCAAUGGACGAAAGUCUGACGGAGCGACGCCGCGUGCGGGAUGAAGGCCCUUGGGUUGUAAACCGCUUUCGGAGGGGAUGAAAUCCUCGAGGGUACUCCCUCGAGGUUGACAGAGCCUCAAAAGAAGCACGGGCUAAGUACGUGCCAGCAGCCGCGGUAAU
RNAcentral lists this ribosomal RNA (476 nucleotides) under uncultured bacterium. RNAcentral describes it as "bacterial SSU rRNA". It matches the Rfam family "Bacterial small subunit ribosomal RNA", at positions 29 to 524 of the family's 1533-position model. The record is from RNAcentral.